RNAcentral lists this transfer RNA (72 nucleotides) under Prevotellaceae bacterium. RNAcentral's name for it is "tRNA-Thr". It matches the Rfam family "tRNA". Rfam says of the family: Transfer RNA (tRNA) molecules are approximately 80 nucleotides in length. Their secondary structure includes four short double-helical elements and three loops (D, anti-codon, and T loops). RNAcentral also lists the same sequence under 1 other name. The record is from RNAcentral. Lineage: Bacteria; Pseudomonadati; Bacteroidota; Bacteroidia; Bacteroidales; Prevotellaceae.
GCCAGCGUAGCUCAGUGGUAGAGCGCUUCCUUGGUAAGGAAGAGGUCGUGAGUUCAAUUCUCACCGCCGGCU